AAGUCGUAACAAGGUCUCCGUAGGGGAACCUGCGGAGGGAUCAUUUCCGAAGAAUAACAAAAGGGUUCUUUUUCUUAUGGAAGAAGGGCUUUUUUCAGUUGGGUGUGCUCCAUCAAACCAUGGAUGGUAAAAGAAUUGAGGGGGUGUUUGUGAUUUGGGGGAGAAGCAAUUUUUCCCCAUUUUCUUACCCCCCUUGGUUUCAAUACCAUCUAUGCCAUAAAAAAGUGUGAUGACCGUAUUCUUAACCACAUCUACAAAGACCAUCAGGUCGCUACUUGAAAAGUAAUUAAAACAACUAUCAACGGCGGAUCUCUUGGUUCGU
RNAcentral lists this unclassified non-coding RNA (322 nucleotides) under fungal sp. RNAcentral describes it as "partial internal transcribed spacer region". The stretch from base 1 to 46 matches the Rfam family "Eukaryotic small subunit ribosomal RNA", at positions 1786 to 1831 of the family's 1831-position model. The record is from RNAcentral. Lineage: Eukaryota; Fungi.